Molecule: ribosomal RNA, 433 nt
Filed under: uncultured bacterium
Lineage: Bacteria
Description: partial 16S ribosomal RNA
Rfam family: Bacterial small subunit ribosomal RNA
Source: RNAcentral
AACGAACGCUGGCGGCAUGCCUAACACAUGCCAGUCGAACGAGACCUUCGGGUCUAGUGGCGCACGGGUGCGUAACGCGUGGGAACCUGCCCUUAGGUUCGGAAUAACUCCCCGAAAGGGGUGCUAAUACCGGAUAAUGUCUUCGGACCAAAGAUUUAUCGCCUUUGGAUGGGCCCGCGUUGGAUUAGCUAGUUGGUAGGGUAAAAGCCUACCAAGGCGACGAUCCAUAGCUGGUCUGAGAGGAUGAUCAGCCACACUGGGACUGAGACACGGCCCAGACCCCGGCGGGAGGGGGCAGGGGGGAAUAUUGAAAAAGGGGGGAAGGCCUGAUCGAGCAAUGCCGGGGGAGUGAGGAGGGCUUGAGGGUUAAAAAGCUUUUUUACCCGGGAUGAGAAGGACGGUACGGGAAGAAUAAGCCCCGGCUAACUCCGUG